Molecule: ribosomal RNA, 443 nt
Filed under: uncultured bacterium
Lineage: Bacteria
Description: partial 16S ribosomal RNA
Rfam family: Bacterial small subunit ribosomal RNA
Source: RNAcentral
CCUACGGGAGGCAGCAGUGGGGAAUAUUGGGCAAUGGGCGCAAGCCUGACCCAGCAACGCCGCGUGAAGGAAGAAGGCUUUCGGGUUGGAAACUUCUUUUCUGAGGGACGAAGAAAGUGACGGUACCUCAGGAAUAAGCCACGGCUAACUACGUGCCAGCAGCCGCGGGAAUACGUAGGGGGCAAGCGUUCUCCGGAUUUACUGGGUGUAAAGGGAGCGCAGACGGAUGUGCAAGUCUGGAGUGAAAGGCGGGGGCCCAACACCCGAAGUGCUCGGGAUACUGUACAGCGGGAGUGCAGUAGAGGUAAGCGGAAGUCGUAGUGUCGCGGUGAAAUGCUUAGAUAUUACGACGAACACCUGUGGCGAAGGCAGCCUGCUGGACUGUAACUGACGCUGAUGCUCGAAAGUGUGGGUAGCAAACAGGAUUAGAUACCCCAGUUGUC